CAGAUCUUUCCAACAACGGCAAGAGACACCUUCCCCCACCUGCUUUCGUGGCAGACUGGAUGCUGAAAGAGCUGCCUUCUCCCCCUGUCACAAAGUGGAUUGCAUGGGAACAAGGAAAUUGUCCUGCUGUAAGGACUUCUCAGACAGCACUGCUUUACGCUAAUGAACUUCCAUUUUUAACUCUAUUUCUUCGGCAUCUACAUGGAGAACAGGGAAGAAGCAGGUGAAACUGGAACAUGGUAUGUUGGGCUCCACCAGAACUGGGCUGCCAGAUCUUCCAGAUCCAUUCUCACCUGUCAGCAGCUCUCAGAUGGACAAUUGGUCUUGGGACACUCAGAGACCCUAGCCCCCUAAUUUGAGGGUGGGAUUAGGUCUUCAUAGCAUAUAGUUAUUACAGUUUGUUGAAUGUUAGAAAGAAACAAAGACAACAGAAUGGGUUGAGGGAAGAGGAACUCAAAUUUAUGUGAUCAAGAUGUCACUAGCUUUAGUAGAACAAAACUUCUGUGCAUGGAUUUUCUCAGUCUGCCUGGAGUGGUUCAAUUUUGUCCUCAACACCAUAAGAAUCAAAGUUUGCCAUUACCGCAAGCAAUCUAGACAACAGGAAGCAGAUAAUGGGACAUUUCUGUCUUCACUAAAGAGGGCUCACAUUAAAUUGCUUGUAGGUCUUUGGAAAGGUCAGUCAAAGCUUAAGCAGCCCCCUGUUGUUUGACAACAUCAGAGCUCAAACACUGUGGUCCUGGA
This 741-nucleotide long non-coding RNA is filed under the name Gallus gallus (chicken). The record is from RNAcentral. Lineage: Eukaryota; Metazoa; Chordata; Aves; Galliformes; Phasianidae.